ACAGCAGUCGCCACGGUAAUACGGAGGAUCCAAGCGUUAUCCGGAAUCAUUGGGUUUAAAGGGUCCGUAGGCGGUCUUGUAAGUCAGUGGUGAAAGCCCAUCGCUCAACGGUGGAACGGCCAUUGAUACUGCAGGACUUGAAUUAUUGGGAAGUAACUAGAAUAUGUAGUGUAGCGGUGAAAUGCUUAGAGAUUACAUGGAAUACCAAUUGCGAAGGCAGGUUACUACCAAUUGAUUGACGCUGAUGGACGAAAGCGUGGGUAGCGAACAGGAUUAGAGACCCCGGUAGUCCCUGUCUCUUAUAC
RNAcentral lists this ribosomal RNA (305 nucleotides) under uncultured bacterium. RNAcentral's name for it is "partial 16S ribosomal RNA". It matches the Rfam family "Bacterial small subunit ribosomal RNA", at positions 505 to 807 of the family's 1533-position model. The record is from RNAcentral.